UCUUUUAAUAGUAAUAUAUUAUAUUUAUUUUGGUUAUUUUUUAUUUAAUUACUAUCGCACCCGCUGGUUUACCAGUCAUAAAACUCCCGCAAACGCACUCAUUACCAAACGCUCAACCAGUCGUUCAAAACACUUGAUAACGUUUGAAACCGCAACCGCCCGUUUCCGCAAAUUCCCGCAACCGCAAUCGUACCCGCUGCGUUUAAACCAGGCCCAUAGUCAACAUAAGUUACGGAACCACAACUAUUUGCGACUCGAAGAUGUGUAUCGUCAUCUCAUAACAUGAUU
RNAcentral lists this small RNA (288 nucleotides) under Arabidopsis thaliana (thale cress). Its description in RNAcentral is "ATSL143270". The record is from RNAcentral. Lineage: Eukaryota; Viridiplantae; Streptophyta; Magnoliopsida; Brassicales; Brassicaceae.